AGACCCGGCUCAUUGGACCAGCUGCAGCAGCAGGAAGCUCAGGGCAAAGCAGUGGCUAAGAUGGCCCGCCAAAAGUUGCAGGAGACCCAGGGGAGGGAGUUGCUGAGGACGGGGCCCCAAGAGGGACAACCUGGCAACCUCUGUGCCUUCUCACCCUCUUUCCUGGCAUCUCAGGAGCACCUGGAAGCUACCAGCCAGCAGAACCAGCAACUACAGGCCCAGUUGAGCCUCAUGGCUCUCCCUGGGGAAGGUACGGGACACCACUCAGAGGAAGAGGAGAGAGCCCCAGGAGGAAAGGGGGACUGUUAGCACUGUAGGAUUGAGGAGAUGGAAGAGACCUUUAAGACAGCUGGCCAUUAUGCUGACUGGGUGUCUGCACUAAGUUUGGCAUCAAUAUGGUGACCUCCUGGGAGCGGGGGACCACCAGGUUGCCUAAGGAUGGGAGAACUGGCCCAGGUCAGAAAUGGAGCAGGUCAGAAUUCCUGCACCAAUCGGUAGUGGGACUGUGCCUGGGCAAUAUAGCAAGAUCUUGGUUCUUAAAAGUAAAAAUAAAGAACAGCUCAUUC
This 566-nucleotide long non-coding RNA is filed under the name Homo sapiens (human). RNAcentral's name for it is "non-protein coding lnc-NGRN-1:1". The stretch from base 332 to 538 matches the Rfam family "Metazoan signal recognition particle RNA", at positions 68 to 274 of the family's 299-position model. The record is from RNAcentral. Lineage: Eukaryota; Metazoa; Chordata; Mammalia; Primates; Hominidae.